This 734-nucleotide ribosomal RNA is filed under the name Rhamnidium elaeocarpum. Its description in RNAcentral is "eukaryotic LSU rRNA". Lineage: Eukaryota; Viridiplantae; Streptophyta; Magnoliopsida; Rosales; Rhamnaceae. The record is from RNAcentral.
ACUGAACCUUAUCAUUUAKAGGAAGGAGAAGUCGUAACAAGGUUUCCGUAGGUGAACCUGCGGAAGGAKCAUUGUGGAAACCYUUCACAGCAGAACGACCCGUGAACUUAUAAAACACAACUUGGGGGCGAGGGGUCAACCCGAACCCCCUUGGUGGGUGGGCGGUGGGUCGGGCAUUGAUGCCCGAUGUUACUGUCUUCCCCGCUAUACAAAUGAACCCCGGCGCAGGACGCGCCAAGGAACUCAAACGAAUCAAGCAUGCCCCGGCGCCCCAGAGAUGGUAUGCGUUCGGGGUGCUGCAUCGUAUUCUAUAUGUCAAAACGACUCUCGGCAACGGAUAUCUCGGCUCUCGCAUCGAUGAAGAACGUAGCGAAAUGCGAUACUUGGUGUGAAUUGCAGAAUCCCGUGAACCAUCGAGUCUUUGAACGCAAGUUGCGCCCGAAGCCACUAGGCUGAGGGCACGUCUGCCUGGGCGUCACACAACGUUGCCCCCCCAACCCCACCCCGUCUUCUGGGGGAGGGAGGGGGCAGAUGCUGGCCUCCCGUGCGCAAUUGCUCGCGGUUGGCCCAAAUGCAAGCACCCGGCGACGAGCGCCGCGGCAAUCGGUGGAUGUCCAACCCUCGGUGCAACGCCGCGCGCGCGAGCCGCUCAUCGGUGCUGGUGACCCCCAAUGCGCUGCACACGCGCAGUCCACAACGCGACCCCAGGUCAGGCGGGGCUACCCGCUGAGUUU